AACGAACGCUGGCGGCAUGCCUAAUACAUGCAAGUCGAACGAGAUCUUCGGAUCUAGUGGCGCACGGGUGCGUAACGCGUGGGAAUCUGCCCUUGGGUUCGGAAUAACUUCUGGAAACGGAAGCUAAUACCGGAUGAUGACGUAAGUCCAAAGAUUUAUCGUCCAAGGAUGAGCCCGCGUAGGAUUAGGUAGUUGGUGAGGUAAAGGCUCACCAAGCCGACGAUCCUUAGCUGGUCUGAGAGGAUGAUCAGCCACACUGGGGCUGAGACACGGCCCAGACUCCUACGGGAGGCAGCAGUAGGGAAUCUUGGCCUAUCGGCGAAGGCCUGAUCCAGCAAUGCCGCGUGAGUGAUGAAGGCCUUAGGGUUGUAAAGCUCUUUUACCCGGGAUGAUAAUGACGGUACCGGGAGAAUAAGCUCCGGCUAACUCCGUG
Molecule: ribosomal RNA, 433 nt
Filed under: uncultured bacterium
Lineage: Bacteria
Description: partial 16S ribosomal RNA
Rfam family: Bacterial small subunit ribosomal RNA
Source: RNAcentral